Long non-coding RNA from Papaver somniferum (opium poppy), 1144 nucleotides. RefSeq lists it as uncharacterized. Lineage: Eukaryota; Viridiplantae; Streptophyta; Magnoliopsida; Ranunculales; Papaveraceae. The record is from RefSeq and is a predicted model, not a curated record. The transcript is spliced from 9 exons.
UUUAAUGAAUGUGGAAGGAAGCAUAUACUCGAAGAAUAUUCUUUAUAACCUCGCUUUGGCAUGAUUUGGGCGUUGUUACGAAUUAUAGCACAAAGAUUAAUCCGGAUCUAGGAUUUCAACAUAUAAUUUCAUAGUUCUAAAGAUGGGUUUCAUAUCAGGCUUUGUCGACAUUAAGGAAUUGGGAUUUUCUGAUGUUGUACGAGUCUCUUGAUGAACCAUUUGGGGGAAAUGGCUCGUGGCUAAGGAAGAUGUUGCUUAUAGGAUUAAGGAGUUUUUCUGCUACUUAACCUCUCUCACUCCCUGUAUAGAAGGUGAUGAGCAUGAUGAUUGAUGAAACACAUACAGAUGGAAGACCGAAGACCUAACCAAUGCUGACUGGACAUUACUUUUGUUCAUCUUCCUGGAUGUUGUAACUGCAUCUGCCUAUGGAACUCUAUUCAAGUGUAUUCCUGUGAAGCAUAUGGUUGCAGGAAAAUAUGGAGUUGCUUUAGCAGUUUUAGAACUUAAAGAGGCUAAAAAGGAAGGUUUGGUAGCCGAGGCUGCUCGAGGGAUUGCUUGUAUGGAUGAACAUGUACAAAAAGAUGGAAAAAUAAACCCUUCAGAGUUGAGAAAUAUAACUAGUUUAUUGGGUUAUUCCCCACUCAUAUCGAAAAACCAAGCCUUAUAUGCAAGUGUUGCAACCCUGGUCAUGGCAACAAGCCUGAACUCAACGAAUAGUCACCAAGGAAUGGCAAUAUGCACGAGACUCUCCUGCAAAAGCUUACUGAACUAAUUACCAAUAUAAUUUUUGAAGGGGUUAAUUCCUUGCACGAUUUGGAUAAAAGCAGCAAUACAAACAACCUGCCAACAUCAAUUUAGUCACGGAUAUUGAAAGUCCUAAUUGCAGCAAAAACCCAGGUCUUGUUGGUGUUUGAGAGACUAUAUUGCAAAUGAAUGGGUAAUUUGGCCUGUGACUCAAAUGGAGUUUAUGGAGUUUGAGCAGGAAUGAAAAGUCCUUUUCCUCAUACUCUGUGCAGUGGAAACAUAUACUGCUUUUAAUUUGAGGAUCAGACACUUUUAUGCUGCGAAAACUUCUUGAGUUGCUAAUUUCUCAUAUGAAAUCUGUAAUUUGUGGAAUUUUGCAGAACUAUUUUUAUGUAAAGAU